UCAAACUGUGGCCCUCCAGGUGUUGCUGAACUACAACUCCCAUGAUUCUCUGGCUAUCUAUGUAAUUCAAAGAAUCAUGGGAGUUGUAGUUCAGCAACAUCUGGAGGGCCACAGUUUGA
This 119-nucleotide microRNA precursor is filed under the name Pelobates cultripes (western spadefoot toad). The record is from RNAcentral. Lineage: Eukaryota; Metazoa; Chordata; Amphibia; Anura; Pelobatidae.